RNA transcript from Andrographis paniculata, 2382 nucleotides. It is a transcript of the gene named serine/threonine protein phosphatase 2A regulatory subunit B''beta-like, with no coding region annotated. Lineage: Eukaryota; Viridiplantae; Streptophyta; Magnoliopsida; Lamiales; Acanthaceae. The transcript has 14 exons. The record is from RefSeq and is a predicted model, not a curated record.
UUCGUCUCGUGGGCUCUCCCUGGCUGUCUCUUUCUUUCUAACGCCGAACGACUACAGGCGCUGCCUUUCUGCUCGCUCGAGGGUUUGCAAUCACUUCUCUCCCACAUUCGCAUCUUCGAUCUCCGUUGGAAUCCCGAUUCGAUUUUAGGGUUUCUUUCAAUUCUAGUGCUUCUAUUUGCUUGUAUCUGGAAUCUCCUACGUGCCUCCGGUUUGGACCCUGCAAAGAAAGAUCCGGGACUGGAUAUAUAAUUCGGGCUUCUUCUGCUCGGGGUUGGCUGAUUCUGGUUCUUCUUUUUGAUGGUUCAAGAAGCCUUUCGAGAUCUACGGAUUGUCUGUGAUAUUGAAAAUUGAGGAUUUUUGAUAGGGAAGAUAUGGAUUUGGAUUUCAAUGUCGAUGUCGCGUGUCUGGAUGCCGAAUUCUUGCAGCUCCCGGAGGUGUCCGCCUUCGCCAUCAAGGCUAACCCUUAUGUUGCCGAAAAGCUCUUCGAUCAGUGGCUUUCGCUUCCUGAAACCAAUUCUUUGGUAAAAUCCUUGGUUAAUAAUGCCAAGGGGGGCGGUGCACUAAAUGCUGUUGGAACUUCAUCUAACACAAAUACUGCCACCAGCAAUUCAUUGCCUUCAAUGUUUCCUGCUGGUAGUACGCCGCCACUUUCACCAAGAAGUUCAUCAGGUUCUCCCCGGGUCAUGAAACAGAGAGCAGGCCCAUCCGCUUUAGGCUCUCCCCUGAAAUUAGUUAAUGAACCUGUAAAGGAACUUAUACCUCAGUUCUAUUUCCAAGAUGGCCGUCCACCAGCAAAUGAAUUGAAGGAACGGUGCUUGUUUAGAAUCAAUCAGUUCUUUUAUGGUCACAUGGAUGGACUUCAAAUGCAUGAAUUUAAACCAGUAACAAAGGAAAUUUGCAAGCUCCCAUCAUUCUUCUCCACAGCACUUUUUAGAAAGAUUGACACUGACGGCACUGGCGUUGUUACCAGGGAUGCUUUUGUAGAUUAUUGGAUUAAUAAGAACAUGCUGACAAAAGAUAUCUCAACGCAAAUGUACACAAUUUUGAAGCAACCAGAUCUCAAAUGCUUGACCCAGGAUGACUUUAAGCCUGUGCUUCGAGAACUUCUGGCAACUCAUCCAGGGUUGGAGUUUUUACAAAGUACCCCAGAAUUUCAAGAAAGAUAUGCUGAAACUGUAAUAUAUAGAAUAUUUUUCUACGUAAAUAGAGCUGGGAAUGGUCGUCUUACACUCAGAGAGCUUAAGCGCUCAGAUUUAAUUGCUGCUAUGCAGCAUGCGGAUGAGGAAGAGGAUAUUAACAAAGUCUUGAGGUACUUCUCUUAUGAACACUUUUAUGUGAUAUAUUGCAAGUUCUGGGAGUUGGAUAGAGAUCAUGAUUUUUUGAUUGACAAAGAGAACCUCAUCAAAUAUGGUAAUCAUGCACUUACCUACAGGAUUGUUGAUAGAAUAUUUUCUCAGGUUCCCAGAAAGUUUACCAGUAAGGUUGAAGGAAAGAUGGGCUAUGAAGAUUUUGUUAAUUUCAUAUUGUCAGAGGAGGAUAAAUCAUCUGAACCCAGUCUCGAGUAUUGGUUCAAAUGCAUAGAUAUAGACGGUAAUGGAGUAAUUACAAGGAAUGAAAUGCAGUUCUUUUACGAGGAGCAGUUGCACAGAAUGGAAUGCAUGGCACAGGAGCCUGUGCUUUUCGAAGAUAUUCUGUGUCAGAUAGUUGACAUGAUCAAUCCAGAGAAUGAGAGCUACUUUAUGCUACGGGAUUUCAAAGCAAGCAAACUUUCCAGCAGUGUUUUUAACAUUCUUUUUAACCUUAACAAGUUUAUGGCUUUUGAGACUCGUGAUCCAUUCCUAAUUCGCCAGGAGCGUGAGAACCCAAAUUUAACCGAGUGGGAUCGCUUUGCACACAGAGAAUAUAUCAGGCUUUCAAUGGAGGAAGAUGCCGAAGAUGCCUCUAAUGGAAGUGCAGAUGUUUGGGAUGAAUCACUGGAAGCUCCCUUCUGACUUAAGUUUGUUCACCACACAUUGAUGCCAAAUGUGGUCCAUGGCACAUUUAUUGAAAGUGAUUCUAUGUAAUGAAUUCUUUGUAUGGAUAUGGAACCGCCGACUGAUCUUUAAAGCAACAUUUUGUGGUACAAACAUAUGAUUUCCGGUCCGCUGCACUGAUGGUAUGUUUAAAUACUAUGAAGAUGAUUUUGAGCUUAUCUGCAUGUAGCAUUCUUGCCAGACUAGAGGAACCUCAAAUUUCUUGAUGCCGGUGGGAGCAUUUAGAAAAUGGCACUGGGGGAGCUUGUCGACUGGAAGGCUAAUCAGGAACAGAUGUAUUUCCGUUGUCUAGCUUGUAAGAAAACAUUUUGUUAAUUAUUUCUUUUUUGGAGACACUUUUCUAGUGGCA